RNAcentral lists this ribosomal RNA (303 nucleotides) under uncultured bacterium. Its description in RNAcentral is "partial 16S ribosomal RNA". It matches the Rfam family "Bacterial small subunit ribosomal RNA", at positions 507 to 807 of the family's 1533-position model. The record is from RNAcentral.
AGCAGUCGCCGCGGUAAUACAGAGGGUGCAAGCGUUAAUCGGAAUUACUGGGCGUAAAGCGCGCGUAGGUGGUUUGUUAAGUUGAAUGUGAAAUCCCCGGGCUCAACCUGGGAACUGCAUCCAAAACUGGCAAGCUAGAGUAGGGCAGAGGGUGGUGGAAUUUCCUGUGUAGCGGUGAAAUGCGUAGAUAUAGGAAGGAACACCAGUGGCGAAGGCGACCACCUGGGCUCAUACUGACACUGAGGUGCGAAAGCGUGGGGAGCAAACAGGAUUAGAUACCCCUGUAGUCCCUGUCUCUUAUAC